This 131-nucleotide long non-coding RNA is filed under the name Felis catus (domestic cat). Its description in RNAcentral is "lncRNA (ENSFCAG00000043617.2)". The record is from RNAcentral. Lineage: Eukaryota; Metazoa; Chordata; Mammalia; Carnivora; Felidae.
GACAAGCGUAUGUCUGUGCCCGUGAGACACUGUGACUCCUUCCGGACACCAAGCUUCUGGAGCGUUUUGGCCCCUGAGAAGGCGGCCAUGUUACUGAGUCAAGACCCAUCUACUCUGUUCCAAGCCUGCCC